GGGGCGAAUGGAUGCUUCCCGA
RNAcentral lists this non-coding RNA (22 nucleotides) under Arabidopsis thaliana (thale cress). Lineage: Eukaryota; Viridiplantae; Streptophyta; Magnoliopsida; Brassicales; Brassicaceae. The record is from RNAcentral.